CCGGAAUGCCGGAAUGAGUAGCGAGAGAAAGGUGAGAAUCCUUUCGGCCGAAUAUCCAAGGUUUCCAGGGUAAAGCUGAUCUGCCCUGGGUAAGUCGGGGCCUAAGGCGAGGCAGAAAUGCGUAGUCGAUGGACAGCAGGUUGAGAUUCCUGCACCCGUAAUGAACAGAACUGUAGUGACACGGAAGGUAAGACAGAGCCGGGAAUGAGAAAACCGGUGCAAGCACAAUAGAUGUGUGGGAGGAAAAUCCCCCGCAUAAGUCGAAGGUGUGACGCGGACCGAAAAAGAGUAGGGAAGCUGUUAAGCAAGCCGUCAAGAAAAGCUGCUAUUGUUUCAUUAUGGCCCGUACCGUAAACCGACACAGGUGGAUGGGGAGAGAAUCCUAAGGCCGGCGGAAGAAGUAUUGUUAAGGAACUCGGCAAAAUGACCCCGUAACUUCGGGAGAAGGGGUGCCUGCGAGAGCAGGCCGCAGAGAAGAGGCCCAAGCAACUGUUUAGCAAAAACACAGGUCUAUGCAAAACCGAAAGGUGAGGUAUAUGGGCUGACGCCUGCCCGGUGCUGGAAGGUUAAGGGGAGUGGUCAGGAAACGAAGCCACGAACUUAAGCCCCAGUAAACGGCGGCCGUAACAAUAACGGUCCUAAGGUAGCGAAAUUCCUUGUCGGGUAAGUUCCGACCCGCACGAAAGGCGUAAUGAUUUGGGCGCUGUCUCGACAAUACAUCCGGUGAAAUUGAAGUGCCAGUGAAGAUGCUGGCUACCUGCGCCAGGACGGAAAGACCCCAUGGAGCUUUACUCCAGCUUGAUACUGGGACCCGGUAUUGCAUGUACAGGAUAGGUGGGAGGCUAGGAAAUGUGGACGCCAGUCUGCAUGGAGCCGCUGUUGGGAUACCACCCUUGUGGUGCUGGGUUUCUAACCAGAGGCCGUGAACCGGUCUGGGGACAAUGUCAGGUGGGGAGUUUGACUGGGGCGGUCGCCUCCGAAAGGGUAUCGGAGGCGCCCAAAGGUUCCCUCAGAAUGGUUGGAAACCAUUCGAAGAGUGCAAAGGCAGAAGGGAGCUUGACUGCGACACCGACGGGUGGAGCAGGUACGAAAGUAGGGCUUAGUGAUCCGGUGGAAUUUAAGUGGGAAUGCCAUCGCUCAACGGAUAAAAGCUACCCUGGGAUAACAGGCUGAUCACUCCCAAGAGUUCACAUCGACGGAGUGGUUUGGCACCUCGAUGUCGGCUCAUCGCAUCCUGGGGCUGAAGUCGGUCCCAAGGGUUGGGCUGUUCGCCCAUUAAAGCGGUACGCGAGCUGGGUUCAGAACGUCGUGAGACAGUUCGGUCCCUAUCCGGCGUGGGCGUAGGAUAUCUGAGAGGAGCUGUCCUUAGUACGAGAGGACCGGGAUGGACUGACCUCUGGUGUACCGGUUGGCGAUCAACGCCACGGCCGGGUAGCCAUGUCGGGACGGGAUAAACGCUGAAGGCAUCUAAGCGUGAAGCCCCCCUCAAGAUGAGAUAUCCCAUCGUAAGAGUAAGACCCCUUGAAGACGACGAGGUUGAUAGGGCAGGGGUGGAAGUGCUGUAAGGCAUGGAGCUGACUGCUACUAAUCGGUCGAGGGCUUGACC
This 1606-nucleotide ribosomal RNA is filed under the name metagenome. Its description in RNAcentral is "bacterial LSU rRNA". It matches the Rfam family "Bacterial large subunit ribosomal RNA", at positions 1289 to 2925 of the family's 2925-position model. The record is from RNAcentral.